UACGUAUGGUGCAAGCGUUAUCCGGAUUUACUGGGCGUAAAGGGAGCGCAGGCGGCGCGCCAAGUCUGAUGUGAAACCCCGGGGCUCAACCCCGGGCAUGCAUUGGAGACUGGCGGGCUGGAGUGCCGGAGAGGUAAGCGGAAUUCCUAGUGUAGCGGUGAAAUGCGUAGAUAUUAGGAGGAACACCAGUGGCGAAGGCGGCUUACUGGACUGUAACUGACGUUGAGGCUCGAAAGCGUGGGGAGCAAACAGG
This 253-nucleotide ribosomal RNA is filed under the name uncultured bacterium. Its description in RNAcentral is "partial 16S ribosomal RNA". It matches the Rfam family "Bacterial small subunit ribosomal RNA", at positions 524 to 776 of the family's 1533-position model. The record is from RNAcentral.